CCGCCUCUUAAAGAACAUUGAACCCCCUCAAACUCAGUUCUGAGCAUUAGGGAUUCAAAUAUUUUUGCAAAAUCUUAGAACUCACAUCAGCCGAAAUUGUGAAAUGGAUAGGCUUGGGGAAGAUGAAUUAGCCUCAAUUUUGGAAUGGAUUCAAGACCCUCGUGACAGAAAUUCAUUUUCUCUGGUUUGCAAGCGUUGGUGCAAUGUUGAAGGCUUGAAUAAAUUUUCUCUCCGCGUUUUUGAGCCUAAUUACCUCCUAAGUUUUCUACCAAGAUUCCCAAAUUUGCUUAUGUUUGAAUCAUCGGAGCCAAUCUCAGAUGCCCAGAUGGAGUUUCUUGCAAGAACAUGCCCCAGCAUUCAGAAACUCAACCUCUACUACCACGAGGCAUUUCACACCUGGGCAUCAGCUAGACAUUCCGACUUUGGCCACGUUGGUUUAUGUGCUCUGGCAAAAGGGUGUUGCAAUUUGAGGUCAGUGGUGUUGAGGCGGAGAAGAGGAGUCAGCAAUGCUGGAGUUUCUUCGCUUGUUAAGUUUUCGCGAAAUUUAGUGAAUUUGGACGUGAGAUGGUGUAAAGGGAUUAGUGAUGAAGCACUUGAGGCAAUUGGGACCAUGAGUGCUUUGACAAGCUUGAAUUUGCAAGGUUGUUGUUUAAUUUCUGAUGAGGGGCUGGCUUCUUUGGCAAAAGGGUCUCUGUGCAAGUCCCUUGAGUUCUUAAAUCUUGCAGAAUGUGAUCGAAUUUCGGAUGAUGGGGUGAUGAAAUUGGUGGCAAUGAAGUCCUUGGAGGUAUUGAAAUUGGCAGAAUGUGGUCCAAAAGUGACUGAUGUUGGUGGGAGGGCUGUGGCUGCAAUUGAAAGUCUCAAGAGAUUGAAUUUAUCGUGGCUGAUAAAUGUAUCUGAUGACACAGUUUUUGCUCUGGCUCAAAAUAGCAAAAAUUUGGCGACACUUCAUUUAGAGGGCUGUGAAUUGGUUACAGGAGAUGGUAUCCGUGCAUUUACUAGCCACAAGUCUUUACGUAAGCUAGAAUUGUGUGGUAUUUAUAAAUUUAACGUAAAUGAUGUCGAAGAGCUGGUGCUUGGAUGCCAAUCUUUGGAGUUUAUUGGGAUGGAUCAAAGAUUGAGAAGUUGGAUUCCUGUUACAGAGCAGGGGAAUAUAUUUAGGCCAGAUUGUCGGAUUUCUUGGAGGUUAUAGACCAAUAAAAGACUUACAUUUGUUAGUAGAAGGAAUUGUUCUGCAGACAAACAUGAUGAUGAUAAGUGCAAAGGCAAAGACAAGACAGAAAUUCAAGCUUCUAUUCUAGGUGAAGGGAUUUCACAUUAGGACGUAUCCCUACUAGAAGGCCAAUUUGGUGAAGUACCUAUACGGAAUUACUUUGGUUUCCUGCAAAAGAAUUGGAUAUCUUGUAGCAUGUGGUGCCAUUAUAAUAUCCUUUACAAGAUGCUAAUGUAAUGCUCAUUCAUAAAAGUUAAGGUCAAGGAUAGCCUGUGGUUCGUGAACCAUUAUGAAGUAUAACAUAACAUCCCUGUAGUUUUAGAAUGCUCACCUUUCGCAUGUGGUCUGAAACGUGAGCCAACUAGAAGUUGGAGUUCGUACUUUCUCCAGACAGCUAUGUUCGUGUCUGACUGGUGAUUUUUCUUUUUCAUUGUUUUAUAUUUUUUUUCUUUUUGUUUAUGUAGAAAUGUCAAAUGGAUUUGAGUUAAUGAUGCUCAAGUUUGUCAAGAUUGUCUUCAGCAGGCACAAUAUAUCAUCUUUAGAGGGCUAGGAAUGGAAGUGUUCAGUUGUUCAAUUACACUUGAUAUUGCUAGCAGUACAAGCCUUGAUGGUCUUCUCAAUGUGUUCCAAUACGUGCUCUUGAUGUUGUCAGCACAAGUUUUAAGUAUUGGCAUAUGAGUUCUUGCCUUUCAGGCUUUUAUAGAGGAACUCUGUCUACAUUUACUAGGAUUUUAGAUUUGUGGUUAAAGAUGUGCAUUUAGCAGCCUUCAUAUGCAGGAAUUGCCAUAUAGAAGUAUUUGAAUAUGAUAGUUAUAUACAUCUAGAAAACAAGAAUGCUUGCAUUACAACUGAACACAAGGGGAGUUACAAACUUACAAUUGUCACUCCCUAUGUGCUGCAUAUAUUUCUGUUCCUUUUCCAGGGUCUGAACUAGAAAGUGCCCUUCUCUUGAAUGAGUUACGUUGCUCCUCUAA
Coffea arabica (coffee) is the source of this 2184-nucleotide RNA transcript. RefSeq lists it as uncharacterized. NCBI's taxonomy places the organism in Eukaryota, Viridiplantae, Streptophyta, Magnoliopsida, Gentianales, Rubiaceae. The record is from RefSeq and is a predicted model, not a curated record.